RNAcentral lists this ribosomal RNA (832 nucleotides) under Cortinarius austrovenetus. RNAcentral describes it as "eukaryotic LSU rRNA". It matches the Rfam family "Eukaryotic large subunit ribosomal RNA", at positions 77 to 895 of the family's 3401-position model. The record is from RNAcentral. Lineage: Eukaryota; Fungi; Basidiomycota; Agaricomycetes; Agaricales; Cortinariaceae.
CCCCUAGUAACUGCGAGUGAAGCGGGAAAAGCUCAAAUUUAAAAUCUGGCRGUCUUUGGCYGUCCGAGUUGUAAUCUAGAGAAGUGUUAUCCGCGCUGGACCGUGUACAAGUCUCCUGGAAUGGAGCGUCRUAGAGGGUGAGAAUCCCGUCUUUGACACGGACUGCCAGGGCUUUGUGAUVCGCUCUCAAAGAGUCGAGUUGUUUGGGAAUGCAGCUCAAAAUGGGUGGUAAAUUCCAUCUAAAGCUAAAUAUUGGCGAGAGACCGAUAGCGAACAAGUACCGUGAGGGAAAGAUGAAAAGAACUUUGGAAAGAGAGUUAAACAGUACGUGAAAUUGCUGAAAGGGAAACGCUUGAAGUCAGUCGCGUUGUCCAGGGAUCAUCCUUGCUUUUGCUUGGUGCACUUUCUGGUUGACGGGUCAGCAUCAAUUUUGACCAUUGGAAAAAGAUUAGGGGAAUGUGGCAUCUUCGGAUGUGUUAUAGCCCUUAGUUGCAUACAAUGGUUGGGAUUGAGGAACUCAGCACGCCGCAAGGCCGGGUUUUUAACCACGUACGUGCUUAGGAUGCUGGCAUAAUGGCUUUAAUCGACCCGUCUUGAAACACGGACCAAGGAGUCUAACAUGCCUGCGAGUGUUUGGGUGGAAAACCCGAGCGCGUAAUGAAAGUGAAAGUUGAGAUCCCUGUCGUGGGGAGCAUCGACGCCCGGACCAGACCUUUUGUGACGGUUCCGCGGUAGAGCAUGUAUGUUGGGACCCGAAAGAUGGUGAACUAUGCCUGAAUAGGGUGAAGCCAGAGGAAACUCUGGUGGAGGCUCGUAGCGAUUCUGACGUGCA